AUUGAACGCUGGCGGCAGGCCUAACACAUGCAAGUCGAGCGGAGCGGCGGACGGGGGAGUAAUGCCUAGGAAUCGGCCUGGUAGUGGGGGAUAACGUCCGGAAACGGGCGAUAAUACCGCAUACUAUCAGAUGAGCCUAGGUCGGAUUAGCUAGUUGGUGUGGUAAAGGCCGACAAAGGCGACGAUCCGUAACUGGUCUGAGAGGAUGAUCAGUCAAACUGGAACGGAGAGACGGUUCAGACUCCUAGGGGAGGAAGCAGUGGGGAAUAUUGGACAAUGGGCGAAAGCCUGAUCCAGCCAUGCCGCGUGUGUGAAGAAGGUCUUCGGAUUGUAAAGCACUUUAAUUUGUGAGGCGUUACCAACAGAAUAAGCACCGGCUAACUUCGUGCCAGCAGCCGCGGUAAUUC
RNAcentral lists this ribosomal RNA (407 nucleotides) under uncultured bacterium. Its description in RNAcentral is "partial 16S ribosomal RNA". It matches the Rfam family "Bacterial small subunit ribosomal RNA", at positions 30 to 526 of the family's 1533-position model. The record is from RNAcentral.